RNAcentral lists this ribosomal RNA (206 nucleotides) under Clostridioides difficile. Its description in RNAcentral is "partial 23S ribosomal RNA". It matches the Rfam family "Bacterial large subunit ribosomal RNA", at positions 2046 to 2250 of the family's 2925-position model. The record is from RNAcentral. Lineage: Bacteria; Bacillati; Bacillota; Clostridia; Peptostreptococcales; Peptostreptococcaceae.
AAUUCCGGUGAAGAUGCCGGAUACCUGCGACAGGACGGAAAGACCCCAUGGAGCUUUACUGUAGCUUGACAUUGGGUCUUGGUACUACAUGUACAGGAUAGGGGGGAGGCUUUGAAACCAGGACGCCAGUUUUGGCGGAGCCAUCCUUGGGAUACCACCCUUGUAGUACUGGGACUCUAACCAUAGGCCAUGAAUCUGGUCUUGGG